UGGGGAAUAUUGGACAAUGGGCGCAAGCCUGAUCCAGCCAUGCCGCGUGAGUGAUGAAGGCCCUAGGGUUGUAAAGCUCUUUCACCGGUGAAGAUAAUGACGGUAACCGGAGAAGAAGCCCCGGCUAACUUCGUGCCAGCAGCCGCGGCAAUACGAAGGGGGCUAGCGUUGUUCGGAUUUACUGGGCGUAAAGCGCACGUAGGCGGACUUUUAAGUCAGGGGUGAAAUCCCGGGGCUCAACCCCGGAACUGCCUUUGAUACUGGAAGUCUUGAGUAUGGUAGAGGUGAGUGGAAUUCCGAGUGUAGAAGUGAAAUUCGUAGAUAUUCGGAGGAACACCAGUGGCGAAGGCGGCUCACUGGACCAUUACUGACGCUGAGGUGCGAAAGCGUGGGGAGCAAACAGG
Molecule: ribosomal RNA, 404 nt
Filed under: Actinomycetes bacterium
Lineage: Bacteria; Bacillati; Actinomycetota; Actinomycetes
Description: Actinobacteria bacterium partial 16S ribosomal RNA
Rfam family: Bacterial small subunit ribosomal RNA
Source: RNAcentral